This 433-nucleotide ribosomal RNA is filed under the name uncultured bacterium. RNAcentral's name for it is "bacterial SSU rRNA". It matches the Rfam family "Bacterial small subunit ribosomal RNA", at positions 30 to 455 of the family's 1533-position model. The record is from RNAcentral.
AUUGAACGCUGGCGGCAGGCUUAACACAUGCAAGUCGAGCGGUAACAGGGGUGCUUGCACCCGCUGACGAGCGGCGAACGGGUGAGUAACGCGUAGGAAUCUACCUAAUAGAGGGGGAUAGCCCGGGGAAACUCGGAUUAAUACCGCAUACGCCCUACGGGGAAAGGACAGGGGAGUCUUCGGACCUUGCGCUAUUAGAUGAGCCUGCGUCGGAUUAGCUAGUUGGUGAGGUAAAGGCUCACCAAGGCGACGAUCCGUAGCUGGUCUGAGAGGAUGAUCAGCCACACUGGAACUGAGACACGGUCCAGACUCCUACGGGAGGCAGCAGUGGGGAAUAUUGGACAAUGGGGGCGAACCCUGAUCCAGCCAUGCCGCGUGUGUGAAGAAGGCCUUCGGGUUGUAAAGUCGACUUUCUAGUAGGGAGGAAGACCGU